RNAcentral lists this ribosomal RNA (460 nucleotides) under uncultured bacterium. RNAcentral's name for it is "partial 16S ribosomal RNA". It matches the Rfam family "Bacterial small subunit ribosomal RNA", at positions 338 to 795 of the family's 1533-position model. The record is from RNAcentral.
CCUACGGGUGGCAGCAGUGAGGAAUAUUGGUCAAUGGGCGCGAGCCUGAUCCAGCCACGCCGCGUGAAGGAUGACUGCCCUACGGGUUGUAAACUUCUUUUAUAAAGGAAUAAAGUGAGGCACGUGUGCCUCUUUGUAUGUACUUUAUGAAUAAGGAUCGGCUAACUCCGUGCCAGCAGCCGCGGUAAUACGGAGGUUACGUGCGUUAUCCGGAUUUAUUGGGUUUAAAGGGAGCGUAGAUGGGUUGUUAAGUCAGUUGUGAAAGUUUGCGGCUCAACCGUAAAAUUGCAAUUGAUACUGGCAGUCUUGAGUACAGUUGAGGUAGGCGGAAUUCGUGGUGUAGCGGUGAAAUGCGUAGAUAUCACGAAGAACUCCGAUUGCGAAGGCAGCUUACUAAACUGCCACUGACAUUGAUGCUCGAAAGUAUGGGUAUCAAACAGGAUUAGAUACCCUAGUAGUC